Molecule: small nucleolar RNA, 107 nt
Organism: Coffea eugenioides
Lineage: Eukaryota; Viridiplantae; Streptophyta; Magnoliopsida; Gentianales; Rubiaceae
Source: RefSeq, a predicted model, not a curated record
AGACCAUGGUGGGGAUAUCUUUUUGGAAGAUCUUUGAAUCUCUCCCAAGUUUCAUAUAACGACUCAUCUUCAUAUUGAGUAAAACUUGUAAUGUCCAUACUAAAUUU